Ostrinia nubilalis (European corn borer) is the source of this 5419-nucleotide RNA transcript. It is a transcript of the gene named piggyBac transposable element-derived protein 3-like, with no coding region annotated. The record is from RefSeq and is a predicted model, not a curated record. The transcript has 3 exons. NCBI's taxonomy places the organism in Eukaryota, Metazoa, Arthropoda, Insecta, Lepidoptera, Crambidae.
ACAGUUAAUUGAUUUGUAUAUUUUUUUCAGUUAACGUCUCCGGUGAAAUAAUAGAGGAAUAUUUAUUAAAUUUCAAUGAAACCUAUUUCGAAAGCGACGGAGAAGCAGAAUUGCCCCUUUUUUCGUCAAGUUCGGAUUCUUACGAAUCAGAUAAUGAAUCGCUUGAUUAUACCAAUACGAGUCAAGGAACAGGCAGACCACGCGUACGUAAGAUUCGACGUCAAAGAAGUCGCCAAGACUCUCGACGUACCACUCCUGAAUCCCCCCAAGCUACGGAAUGGUCUAACGAGGAUUUCAUUCCCAACGUAGUUACGUUUACAGAGCCAGCGUACCUGCCUUUAAAUAGCGAUGGGUACAAUGAAACAAAUUAUUUUACACAAUACAUAAACGAAGAAUUAGUUAACCUCAUCGUUGACAAGUCCAAUUUAAGCUAUGCUGUAGAUACAGGGUCACAACUUAACCUAACAGCCGCAGAAUUCUACCAAUUUCUCGGAGUAAGUCUGGCAAUAUCGUGUAUUGGCUAUCCGACUUUACGGAUGUAUUGGGAUCGGAAAUUCAAAUUUCCUUUGAUAUGUGCCGCUAUGACCCGUGAUCGAUUCGUUUUGUUGAGAAACAGGAUUAAAUUUGUAGUAGAUGCUGAUGUUUCAGUUGAAGAACGUAGUGCUGAUAAGUUGUGGAAAGUCCGUCCAUUGAUUAAUGCAAUCAAACAAGGUUGUCGCGCACUGCCAAAGCAACAAUGCCUCUGUGUGGAUGAGAUAAUCGUUCCAUUUACAGAACAGUGUAGUAUUAAACAAUACUGCCCUGGAAAGCCUAAUCCUGUUGGCUUAAAAAUGUUUGUGCUAGCUGAUCCUCAGGGCCUAAUAUGCGAUUUCGACGUAUAUCAAGGACAGUAUACUUACCCUAAUUACGAUAACACUCAUUUCAGUUUGAGGGAGAAAGCGGUCUUAAAUCUUACAGAGGAUCUUAUUCCUGGGCACAAACUGUAUUUUGACCGUUAUUUUACUAGUGUCAAAUUGAUAAAAGAGUUAACAAAAAGACACUUGAUGGCCACUGGAACAAUUCAGAAAAAACGUAUUCCUGCAUCAGCUAAACCUUUGAUACAAAAUAACCGCGAACUGCAUCAUGAAGGUCAAGGAGCUUGUGAAGUUUUGACUGAUUCCAGCGAUAAUAUAGCGAUAACUCAAUGGUUCGAUAAUAAACCCGUUCUUCUUAUGUCCAACAUUCAUGCCAAGGAGCCUACAGAUACCUGUAAGAGAUGGUCAAAGUCUUUAGGUAUUUACACACAUGUCUCUAGACCUGACGUCAUAAAAGCUUACAACACCAACAUGGGUGGUGUUGAAUCAGCUGUCAAAUUACUGGCUGUCGCUCCGAACCGCUACAAAAGCCGAAAAUGGACAGAUAGAUUCUUCGGUCAUAUGAUAGAUCUGGCAGUAACUAACUCGUGGGUUUCAUAUAAAGCUGAUCAGACUGCUCGAGGGACUCCAAGUAAACACAUCAAAAAGCUUCGAAGUUUCAAAUUGGAGUUAGCUAAUGUCUUAAUUGAUACAUAUUUUGAGACCUCGACUGCUCCAAAUUUAUCAUCCCCGUCCACUCCUCAGAAGAAGCGAAGAGGCAGGAUCCCUGUGAUUCCAACACCAUCUCUUCGAUGCAGAAGGUAUAAUGCCAGACACAUUGCCAUAUUUGCAGAUCGACAAAAUAAAUGCAGGGUCUGCCACAAAAAAACUUGGAUGUCAUGCACGAGUUGCCAGAUUAAUUUGUGUAUCGUGAGAGACAGAAACUGCUUUAGGGACUUCCAUUCUUAGUCAAUCAUCUACGAAAAACAUUGCUGAUUCACGAUCCUUUAUGUCAUUUUCCCAGCACCGAACCAAUAAAACAAACUUGUGAUAAUGAAAAGAAAAAUAAACAUAAGAAAAAAAGGAGUGUAGGAACUGUUAAUACAUACAAAAUAAAUAAAGAACUUAAAGAUAAAGGCAGAGAAUAUGUUACAAAAAAAGGCAAAGUGAUCGCAGAAAGGGCAAUGAGGGAAAAUCCUUGUGCACCUGGAAAAUGCCAAAGAGGUUGUUUUGAGAUAACUGAAGAGCAAAGGAGGGCCAUUUUUAAUUUAUACUGGAGUCUCGAAGUGCGCCGACGCUCUGAUUGGUUGAUUCGCUGCGCUAAAAUUGGAUCUGUGAAAAGAAAGAAAAAUAAGGACUCGGACAGAAGGAAAUUAUCAGUAGAUUACUAUAUUAAUAUCAUCUACUAAAGACAUUACUGAUUCACGAUCUUUUAAAUAAUUUUCCCAGCACUGAACCAACAGAACAGACUAGUGAUAAUGAACAGAAAAAUAAACAUAAGAAGAAAAGGAGUGACGGACAUGUUAAUAACAAAACAAAUAAAGAACUUAAAGAUGAAGGUAAAGAAUAUGUAACAAAAAAAGGCAAAGUGAUCGCAGAAAAGGCAAUGAGGGAAAAUCCUUGUGUACCUGGAAAAUGUCAAAGAGGUUGUUUUGAGAUAACUGAAGAGCAAAGGAGGGCCAUUUUUAAUUUAUACUGGAGUCUCGACGUGCACCGACGCUCUGAUUGGUUGAUUCGCUGCGCUAAAAUUGUAUCUGUAAAGAGAAAGAGAAAUAAGGACUCCAACAGAAGGAAAUUCUCAGUAGAUUACUACAUUAACUUAGGCAAAGAUCGUAAAAAAGUUUGUCAAAAAUUUAUUCUCUCUACUUUGGAUGUAUCCCAAAAACGUUUAACCUACACUCUAAAGAAUGCAAAGGAAGUGUCUAAUAAACGAAGAAAUACUUACAGGAAAUAGAGAAUAUGCAAAGGUUUUUUUUUCUCACAUUUCUAUAGAGUUUCUCCUACAAACAAAAAUGUAUGUGUCUCUUAAAUUAAAUAAAACUAUAAAAUGUUUUGUAAAACUUUUUAUAGUCCUGUUUUUUUUAUUCAGAACAAAGGUAUCACCGCAAUCACACCUAAUGUUAACUGAGAAGCAGUCUAGGAUGGUGCCUGCAACUGCCCUAUAAGUGCCUAUUCACUCUCGCCUUAAAAAGGCCCGAAUUAUAGUGUUCGGGAAACAGCAGCAGGCAGCGAAUUCUAGUCCCUAGCGAAUAUAAUAUAUCUAUAGAUGCAUGCAUUAUGCUCAUGCAUGUCUACUUGUAAUACUGUGUUGAAGUUGAACUCACGUGCCAUUUAUUCAACAGGCGACCUAAAACUGGUCACAAUGGUGAAUGGAAAGAAAUUUUUCAUGUAUAAAGGUUACACUUACUCUUUCGGGUUCUCUUCCCGGGCGGGCCAGAGGUGGCGGUGCAGCUGUGGAUGCAAGGCCUUCAUCAUGGUGUCAAACGAGGGUAGUCUGUUGAAAUCAUCCGGGGAUCAUAACCACGGCCCUUACAAGUUCGUUCAGAUCGCAGAUGGAAGAUACUGCAGAAUGUGAUCUGACGUCACAUAUAUGUACAAAAAGUCUGAAUAUUCUUAUUUUUUGUUAGAUUUAGUUACCAAUAGAAUGUCUUAGAAUCUGAACAUGAUCUGUCGAUCAAAUUGUUUAAUUUGUAUGUGUGUAGCUUAACAAUAAAUGGUAAUAGGUUAUGUAAAAAUAACACAGGCCUGCAAAAAACAAUUUUUUUUUUUGGUGCAGCUCUUUUUGUAUAUACGAUCGAUAAUAUGGGUAAUCUACAAUAUAUUGACAUACUUCAUUUCAACUCAUCAGCUCUAGUUUGUCGACUACCCUCAUUUUAGUUUUUUUCCCGUCUUGUUCGCAAAUAGUCAUUAUUACAAUAACAUCGAUAAACUUUAUGUUACUAUUUAGCUAUGGAUAGUACGUCCAGAUGUUGUGUUAACGAUCCUGAUUCAUUUUGAUAAGUUUGUGGUGAAUACUACUGAAAUAUCAGCGUGAAACCAUUAAAAAUACGGCGAAUUUUUUGUAUUUUGCUUACUUCGGUAUUGAAAUUCAAAACAAAGGUAAGGUGUAGGUGCCUUAAAUUGUAUGUAUAAUGUGCGUUGAACAUCUGCGAAGAUAUUAGAAAGGCACACGUAAGUUUUUGAAGCUUGGAGUGCCUAUGAUAUGGCGAAAAUGGCUAAUAUUUCCAGUUAAUUUAACAGAAAUUUCCAAGUUUAAGUACUGAAAAACUAAAAGCAGGCAUAUUUGAUGGACUUAAAAUAACUGUAUUAAUAAAAGACUCCACUAAAUUUAAGAUUUCUAUGAACGAUGUGGAAUGGUUGGCGUGGAAAUCUUUUGUAACAGUUGUACAAAAUUUCCUGGGAAAGCAUAAGGCUGACAACUAUGUAGAAUUAGUAUAGGAUGUGCUGGUUCAAUUCAAGGAUUUAGGCUGUUAUAUAGGUAUACAAUUACACCAUUUUAACAGUAAACUAGAUCAAUUCCAACAAAAUUAGGAGAACUAAGCGAAGAACAAGGAAAACGUUUUCACCAAGACAUAAAAACAAUGGAGAAUAGUUACCAAGGAAGAUGGGACGCUCAUAUGAUGACCGUCUACUGUUGGAGAAUCAUGCGAGAUUGCCCAAGUAAGUUUCGUUCGAAAAAAUCACUCAAAAGACAAUUUCUUGAUGUUUAAUGCUAGUAAAAAUAUAUAUUUAUUGUGAAAUUUGUUUUUUAGUUAUCUCGGGAACUAGAGCUGAUAGAGAAAAACUGAUUACAUUUUUGAUAUCGCCAUGCAAGACAUACUUAAAAUCAGGUCUUAAAUCCCCGGCACCAAAAUGGCUGUAGGCCAGUGUAAUGUGUGUAUUUGAAUACAUGGUCAUGAAACUUAUUUUUAUACUUGAUUUAUAAUAGGCGGUAACAUAUUCCUAUAGGCUAUUCACCUGUAUGUAACAGAAUCACGAGUAGUUCUGCAGUACUGAGUUUAUUUCUAUUAUAUUUCAAAAUAUUAUAGGAGAAAGAAAUGACGUUAUCAGUGAAGAGAGUUUUUAAAACACUGUGUUUAUUAUAAAAGAUCAUAUUAUGUUUUAAGGUGAAGAAUAUGAAAUAAUAACACUAUUAAACACCAAUGACAAGCAGUUCAUCAUGUACAACAAAUACACGUACAGCUUCAGGUCCCAGUCCCGGGUGGGACAAUCUUGGAGGUGUACUAGCACUCUACACUGCCGAGCUAGCAUCAAACUGAAUAACGAGGGGAAAGUAGUGAAGGCCGUUGGGGUACAUAACCAUUCACCACCGAUGUACCAUAAGGCAGCUGACGGGAGGUAUGUUAAGAUUUCACGACGAUAGCCCAAGUGUCGGCGUCGGACUGCCGAUUUGAAGCUCGGCAAGUCGAUCCCCAUCGAGCGCUAGACCAUUGUGGUGAAACCACUUGUGACGCAAGCAUAUUCAGCUUAACUGUAGUGGUUAACGGACAUAAUAGUAAUUGUGCAGAAAGUUUAUUAAUAAUUGUUAAGGACGGACAUUUUGUAAUAUAAUGAUUUGUAUUGCAUGAAAAUAUGAAUACAUUUUG